Long non-coding RNA from Nerophis ophidion (straightnose pipefish), 244 nucleotides. RefSeq lists it as uncharacterized. NCBI's taxonomy places the organism in Eukaryota, Metazoa, Chordata, Actinopteri, Syngnathiformes, Syngnathidae. The record is from RefSeq and is a predicted model, not a curated record. The transcript has 3 exons.
GGAAGGUGAAUGAUUGGUAAAAUGCUCAAAUAAAGUGCAGUUCCCCUUUAAGAAGAACAUAAGAAAAUACAUGGAAAGUCAGGCAGAAGAAUAUGCGAUGAGAUGCAGAAGCGACUGACAUCCUGUGUCCUCCUGUCCAGGAAUUACACGCCUCCAGCAAGCCCUAAAACAAACAGCUGCAUGAUGGGAACUCCUCAAGACUCCAAAGGGUCACAAUUUAGGACAAAGCAGUCCACAGGUUGCA